Molecule: long non-coding RNA, 2303 nt
Organism: Eptesicus fuscus (big brown bat)
Lineage: Eukaryota; Metazoa; Chordata; Mammalia; Chiroptera; Vespertilionidae
Exons: 5
Source: RefSeq, a predicted model, not a curated record
CUUCUGACCACUUAAAAAUAGAACAGCUGUCCCAAAGAAUUUGGGUGCUGGAGGGUGUUGCAGUUGCAGAAACCGAGGAGCCUGUAUCUGGGUCUCACUCAGACUUGCAUUGUUGAUCUUUCCCCGAAAGAGUCCCAGCCACUCCCAGAGCAGAAGAGUCUUGCUGCAAUAUGGCGAGAAGUCAGAAAUCUCUGGUGGGAAGCUGCCCUACAGACCUACACAUAAUCUGCCCCUGCAUAUCCCUCAGAAAGGUUACCGUUCUCAGCCUGCAUUGGCAUCUACAGUGAACCAAAGUUCAUCCCAUCCGCCUUCCCUUCUGGGCCCUGUUGAAGAAAGUGAAGCUCAAGGAGGUUAAGUGCUUUCCUGCCAGGUCACACAACUAGCAACUGGAGAACUAGAUUGAAAAUCUGGGGACUACACUCUGCACAGGGCCUCUGAGUUCCUGCAGGGUCUGCAGGUACAGGCCUCCUGCAAGCUCCCUGCUUGGGUUCACUCUGGAGAUCGAAUAUUUAAAGGGAACCCAGGAUUUGGUUUCAUCAGGAAUUAGCUAACCCUGGGAGGGGCCACCCUUCUACUUCAGCAAGAUGUCAAAUAUCAAAGCAUCGAAUACAGAAACUGGAAAACAUGGUUAUUACACUGAGACUUCUGGAAAGAGCCCUUGAGGACUCAAGGGCCUGACUGAAAGCUGCACCUUACCGUACUCUGGCUUGACUGAUAGCUUCAGCCUCCGGAGCUUCUGCAGACCAAAUGCCAGUGAGGCUCAGAGUGGGCAGCAAAUGGAGAAAGCGACACCUUUCCCUGUAGACUGUGGGCUCCAGCCUGUCAGCAAACAGCCUAUUCAUUUGUUUUGUAUCUACUUUCAUUCAGUGACGUUUAUAACACUCUAAAUUGUCCGUUUAAGUGCAAUUUCACUACUGGGCGUUGUUUUUAGGUAGUCACCAGGGGUCUGAUUUUAAAUCACAUUCUAUUACAAUUGCAUGACCAAGUGAGAUGUCAAUUGUUUUAAUGCUUCCUCAUUUAUUGUUCUUUAGCUACACAAGCAUCUUAAAGAGCUACAAAAAUUAGUGGAUAUAUUGCCAUCAAUCAAGCAUAAGGAUACCAUAGUGGAAUUUGGGUCGUUCGACCCUGCCUGCCUGAUGCCCACCUGCCCGGACUACUGGACCUACUCAGGAUCCCUGAUUACCCCACCACUCUCCGAGUCUGUCACCUGGAUCAUUAAGAAGCAGCCUGUAGAGGUUGAUCAUGAUCAGGUACAUUCUUUCCAUGUUUCUGUAUAAGGAAAUUCUAGUUUUCCUCUUCAAAACAAGCCUGGGCUCAAACUUUGGGAUCAGUUUUUAACUUAUAAUGCUUAUACAUUUUUAUUAAAAUGUGCUAACUUCUUGCCUAAUUUGGGUAUGAAUUAGAAAAAUCUUUAGUGAACCAGAGAGAGGUGUUAAAACAUAGAACAUAAGCUUUUUGCUUUCAUUCUUGACAGGGACAUAUAUUUUGCUGUAUACGCAUUGGGUAGAGUCUCUAUAAAAAUUAAGACUCUUUUAAAUAGGAAAAAAUGAAGGGUAGAAAUAGCUAUGUUUAAAACCUUUUAGUUAAGUAAAAUUUACGGUGGAAUCUUAGAGUAGAGACAGAAUCCAGUAAAGCCUAAGUUGGGAGUUUAGACUUGGUAUUUGUUUCUCCUUUAGAAAUUAAGUGUAUUGUAUCAACACACAAAAUCCUGUUUAAUAAACUAACUAAACUAUAAUAACUGUUUUUACUUGUUUAUAUUGGAUUUUUAUUGAUUAAAUUUUUUCAUAACAAAAUCUUCCAAAUUCUUAUUUUCAAGGCAAUGUAACAAUGAAACCAAAACCCACCAAAUGUUGGGAUCCCCCAAAAGAGUAAACAAUAGACCUAUAAUAUCUCUCAAGGAAGUUUUGGAAAAAAGAAAGCUAAAUAAAAUAUUGAAAUGGAAUCCAGAGUACAUCAGAAGAAAUAUAUACUUUGUCCAAGUGUAGGGUUUUUUUUAGUAUUGUAAGGAUAUUUCAGUAUUAGGAAUGAUAUGGUUAGGUACCUACUAUUAGCAUAUUAAAUAAAAUUGAAUUAAGUUCCAGUAGUAGCCAAUAAAGUUAGAUGAAAAAAGAUAAAGACAAUUGGAUAAACCAUUAGUGGAGUCCCAUGUUAAUUUAAAGAAGUCAAUUCCUUUGACGUAUAAAAAUCACAAUUAGAAAAUAUAAGGGAAGAAAGAGCCCUACUUAUAAUGGAAAUUAAAAACUAAAAUACUUUGGAAAGAACUUACCAUAAAAUGUCAACAAGAAAACUGUAAAAUAUUCCUA